RNAcentral lists this long non-coding RNA (587 nucleotides) under Brassica rapa (field mustard). Its description in RNAcentral is "long non-coding RNA (BRAP_LNC002708)". The record is from RNAcentral. Lineage: Eukaryota; Viridiplantae; Streptophyta; Magnoliopsida; Brassicales; Brassicaceae.
UUUAGUGUUUAGUGUUUUUUAUUUAGAGUUUAGGAUUUAUCCAAGGGUGUAGGGUUUACACAAGGGUUUAGGGUUUAAGAUUUAGGGAUUAGGAUUUAAGAUUUAUGAUUUAGUGUUUUGCUGGUGACGUUAAAAAUAUUUUUUUUUCAAAUUAUUUUUCUGUAACUACAAUUUUUUUUUUACAUUUUUAUUUUAAAAACAUAAUAUAACUUGACAAUAAUUUUUUUUUAAAACAUCAAAUUUGAAAUAAUAAAGUCUUAUUGGUUGGUAAAUCUAGAGGUUCACCUUAGGAGAUGAAUCUAAAAAUAACUCUAUAUUUAUUUUAUGAAACUAAAAGAUUUGUGAAGACAAUAAAUGAAUCAAAAACCAACGCACUGAAACGCAGAAAGCCAAAUCUAAUGCGGUUCAGCUUUCCCCUACCACUGACUCUUAUGGACCUUGAGGAGGCAUUACAAAACACUGCAACGGACUUUCUUGCCUAAUGUGUCGAAUACACUUUUAUAUUUUGUAAAGUGUGCUGAUUUGAAUUCGAGUCUAGCUAAUCUAACAGGUUUGCAACCUACAUACAGUAUUUCUGAUUAGCUAUU